GAUGAACGCUGGCGGCGUGCCUAAUACAUGCAAGUCGAGCGAACAGACGAGGAGCUUGCUCCUCUGACGUUAGCGGCGGACGGGUGAGUAACACGUGGAUAACCUACCUAUAAGACUGGGAUAACUUCGGGAAACCGGAGCUAAUGCCGGAUAAUAUAUUGAACCGCAUGGUUCAAUAGUGAAAGACGGUUUUGUUGUCACUUAUAGAUGGAUCCGCGCCGCAUUAGCUAGUUGGUAAGGUAACGGCUUACCAAGGCAACGAUGCGUAGCCGACCUGAGAGGGUGAUCGGCCACACUGGAACUGAGACACGGUCCAGACUCCUACGGGAGGCAGCAGUAGGGAAUCUUCCGCAAUGGGCGAAAGCUUGACGGAGCAACGCCGCGUGAGUGAUGAAGGUCUUCGGAUCGUAAAACUCUGUUAUUAGGGAAGAACAAAUGUGUAAGUAACUAUGCACGUCUUGACGGUACCUAAUCAGAAAGCCACGGCUAACUACGUG
RNAcentral lists this ribosomal RNA (497 nucleotides) under uncultured bacterium. Its description in RNAcentral is "partial 16S ribosomal RNA". It matches the Rfam family "Bacterial small subunit ribosomal RNA", at positions 28 to 507 of the family's 1533-position model. The record is from RNAcentral.